Molecule: non-coding RNA, 23 nt
Filed under: Cricetulus griseus (Chinese hamster)
Lineage: Eukaryota; Metazoa; Chordata; Mammalia; Rodentia; Cricetidae
Source: RNAcentral
UCUGGGGACUCUGGGCUUUGAUC